RNAcentral lists this ribosomal RNA (770 nucleotides) under bacterium 226Q. Its description in RNAcentral is "partial 16S ribosomal RNA". The stretch from base 1 to 463 matches the Rfam family "Bacterial small subunit ribosomal RNA", at positions 62 to 546 of the family's 1533-position model. The record is from RNAcentral.
CCAGGAGGUGAAUUAUGUGGUCAACGGCGUAUCGUACGGAGAUGGCAGACGGGUGAGGAACACGUGGGAACAUACCCUUUGGUUCGGAAUAACACUGAGAAAUUUGUGCUAAUACCGGAUAAAUCCGUAACUAGAAAGAUUAUCGCCGAAGGAUUGGCCCGCCCUCCGAUUUAGCUUAUUUUGGUGUGGUAAUGGCGCACCAAGGCGACAAAUCUUUUACCUGGUCUGAAAGGAUGAUCACCCCCCUUGGGACUGAAACACGGCCCAACCUCCUUCGGGAGGCAGCUGGGGGGAAUUUUGGACAAUGGGCGCAAGCCUGAUUCAUCCUUGCCCCGGGAGUGAUAACAGGCCCUAGGGUUGUAAAGUUUUUUCUCCCGCAACAAUAAUAUCGGUACUGGGAAAAGAAGUCCCGGUUAAUUUCUUGUCCCCACCCCCGGAAUAUCGAAGGGGGAUAGCUUUUUUCUAAUUUUAUGGGCUAAAACCUACCCUAUCCGUUUCUUUUAUUUCCAGGAGGGAAAUGUCGAACUCUAACUUCGAAAAUGCCUUUGAAUCUGGCGACUUUUUACCUCGAGAGAAGUGAUGGGUUAUUGCCAAUGUGAGAGGAUAAAAUCUCUAUAUUUUUCCAGAGUACCCCCGGUGGAAAAAGGCGUCUCUAUGGCCUCAAUUCUUUACCUCCUGAGUGGCCAAAAGGGGUGGGUUCAAUACGGGAAUUUCUUCCCCUUGGUUUCCCCCCCCCCUACAACGAUGAUUAACUUCCCGUCCCACCUUUU